Long non-coding RNA from Rhipicephalus microplus (southern cattle tick), 2493 nucleotides. NCBI's taxonomy places the organism in Eukaryota, Metazoa, Arthropoda, Arachnida, Ixodida, Ixodidae. The record is from RefSeq and is a predicted model, not a curated record.
AGCGAAUGAACGAAGGCGCGGACACAAAGUCGCGGGCACCGCAGCGGGGCGGAUGAAUUUUUCCUUUCGACAAGUACCGUUACUGUCGACGUCUGGAGAAGGGGGAGAGAUAGUGUGCGAGUCGGAAGAGAGGAGGUGAACUCCAGCCUUGUUUGCCCCCGAACCCACUUCACCUUUUUCUCGUGCCUUCUCGUACUCGUGUAUGCCGGACGCCUUUCUCUUCAUCAGCCCCCCCCCCCCCCCCUCCUCCAAACACGCACUUUCACUCUACUAACCGAAUUCGUCCCGUACACGAAGAAACCAGGGAAAGACGGCCCGCGAGCUCGACGCCGGACGCCGGCGAGAUAGUGGGAACCUUCCUGCGCCGUCGUUCUUCCGGCCCCGACCGCGCUAACCUUUCCACGCCGCCAUGCGAGCGCAUCCGUUAUCGAGAAGCUGCAGGACGUCUCUUCUUUCACCAAGAAAGACGAUGCAAUCGCGAGAUUCGGGCCGCUGAGACGAGAAACACCGAGAAGAGUCGCCGGGACUCAGCCGCGAGACAUCGAGGACGAUGGAUGGCCACCGAGGCGAGGACGAGUGACUGUGGAGUAUCCGUGGCUACAACAUCGACGCACGGCACCGGUCCCAGCGAGGAGGCAGAGGAGGUGCGCCCGGGCUGCGAGUCGGGGCGGAGGAGAGGUGACCCCGAGCCGUGGCGUUGUCGUCGUCAGCCCGGGCCCGCUGCCGGGGCGAGAAAGAUAAUGUCAAGGUUCAGAGCGGCGUCCUGCUGCACGGAGGCAGGGCGCACGCCGGAGCGCUCCACUACUACUUCCGGGUUGCCGCUGCUCGAAGACCUCGUCCAUCUCUUCGUCCACCUGUCCAGAUGAUACGGCUGUUCCACCAACAGAGGGGGAAAAAAGUUAGCGAAAAUAAUCCUCCUGGUUAGAUUUAACCUGGCAUGCUCAGUGAUCUCGACGGAGCACUCUCUGCUACAGCCUGAACCCGGCGGGAUGGUCUAACUGCGCCGAAAACAGUUUCAUCCUGCGAUGGUGUCUGUGCCGCACGCUGACCACCGUCACCUGGCCCGUGUGCACCUUCUUGCUUUAGUGUCAUGCGUCCGGUACUUCCGGAUGUUGAACGACAGUUUAUUAUUUAUUUAUUUUUAUUUAUCGAAUACUGCAGGCCCAUUCAGGCCCCAAGCAGGAGUGGAUACAUACUCAAAAUACAGAGGUAAUAAUAAAAGUAAACGUCACGCAUUAAAACAACGAAAUAAAGUAGAGUGUACGUGCAUAUACAUACACAAACACUUAAAUGCCAACCAUUGUAAUAGCAACGAAACAGGAGAUAAGAAAAAAAGUGAUAAAACGACCGAUGGGCACCUCUAUGCCUGUAUACAGUAAGUGCCAACACAAAAUACCGCAGUUCCCAAAAUACCGCACAAAAAUAUCACAGCUCUCUACGCAUCUCCAGAUUAAACGUCACAUCAGCAGCAUAAAAUAAGCCAAACAAUAUGAUAACAAUGUAUCAACAACCAUUCAUUAAAAAAAACAAAAAACAGAUGGAGUGCGUGUGCAUAACAAAGUACCAGAAAUUCGGGAGCACCAAUAAAAGGUCCCGAUAGCAAGGUGUCAAUGGCAGUAACUGAAUAUCAGGUGGUUCCAUAACAUUCGUGGCACCUAAGUGCCGAGUUUAAAAACAAACAAAAAAAAAACAAGCAAGCAAGAUUACUAUUACUUUGUGAGAAAAAAAAAAUGAUGACUGUAGAAUGUACGGCGUUCUGCUGACCGACUUUAACGAGCGUGUUAGACCCCCUCUUUUCCCCCUCCCCGCUACAGAGUGGUCGGAUUUCGUUCGAUCGAGCGAACAAAAUUCAAAACGACCUCGUGCUUUUUCUUUAGAUAUUAAUACGCGUUAAAGAGCGCCUGUUGAGAGCUUGAAUUGAAUUUAUGUAGAUGGGUCUCAUGAGCAUAAUCACAUUGUACAAUACAAAACGCGACAAUAUUUAAAGUAGGCUAAGAUGCUUGCUAUCAAGUUGCUAGUUGGUAAAUAGCAACUAUCAAGUAUAUAAUUAAAUUGAGUUUAUUCAGACAAACAUUGCCUAAGUUGAAGGGACUAAAGGUAGAUUACUCUGUCUCACUAAGGUCCUUCCAUCAAUAAAUUUGCUAAGAUGCAGUUUGACAUAACAAUACAAAUACUUAUUUUUUUUUAGAAACUCGAAGCGAAAUUUGAAGUGCAGAAAGAAUACCGGAAACGAGCAUCUGAAAAUGCAGCAGUAUAAUCAACAGCAGCUACCCGUAAAAUGACGGAAAAUAUGCAAAUAAACUGAAAUCAGGAGCAUACUAUAAGGAAAGAGGCUAAGUACAAUACAAAAGGCAAAACACACGUUGAAAGAAAUGAGUGACUCCUACAUAGUUAUGCAAACUAUACACCGACACUGAAAGAAUCAUUCAUAGCGGAUGAGAUAUUUAGGCAGCUGUACAAGAGAUUUAGUAAAUUUUGACAUUUCUCUUUAAA